RNAcentral lists this ribosomal RNA (489 nucleotides) under uncultured bacterium. RNAcentral's name for it is "partial 16S ribosomal RNA". It matches the Rfam family "Bacterial small subunit ribosomal RNA", at positions 30 to 507 of the family's 1533-position model. The record is from RNAcentral.
UUGAACGCUGGCGGCAGGCCUAACACAUGCAAGUCGAACGGUAACAGGAAGCAGCUUGCUGCUUUGCUGACGAGUGGCGGACGGGUGAGUAAUGUCUGGGAAACUGCCCGAUGGAGGGGGAUAACUACUGGAAACGGUAGCUAAUACCGCAUAACGUCGCAAGACCAAAGAGGGGGACCUUAGGGCCUCUUGCCAUCGGAUGUGCCCAGAUGGGAUUAGCUAGUAGGUGGGGUAACGGCUCACCUAGGCGACGAUCCCUAGCUGGUCUGAGAGGAUGACCAGCCACACUGGAACUGAGACACGGUCCAGACUCCUACGGGAGGCAGCAGUGGGGAAUAUUGCACAAAGGGCGCAAGCCUGAUGCAGCCAUGCCGCGUGUAUGAAGAAGGCCUUCGGGUUGUAAAGUACUUUCAGCGGGGAGGAAGGGAGUAAAGUUAAUACCUUUGCUCAUUGACGUUACCCGCAGAAGAAGCACCGGCUAACUCCGUG